Molecule: ribosomal RNA, 253 nt
Filed under: uncultured bacterium
Lineage: Bacteria
Description: partial 16S ribosomal RNA
Rfam family: Bacterial small subunit ribosomal RNA
Source: RNAcentral
UAUGAAGGGGGCUAGCGUUGCUCGGAAUCACUGGGCGUAAAGGGUGCGUAGGCGGGUCUUUAAGUCAGGGGUGAAAUCCUGGAGCUCAACUCCAGAACUGCCUUUGAUACUGAGGAUCUUGAGUUCGGGAGAGGUGAGUGGAACUGCGAGUGUAGAGGUGAAAUUCGUAGAUAUUGGGAGGAACACCAGUGGCGAAGGCGGCUCACUGGACCGGUUCUGACGCUGAGGCGCGAAAGCGUGGGGAGCAAACGGG